UUGCCCUAGUAACGGCGAGUGAAGCGGCAACAGCUCAAAUUUGAAAUCUGGCCUCCUUCGGUGGUCCGAGUUGUAAUUUGCAGAGGGUGCUUUGGCGUCGGCAGCGGUCUAAGUUCCUUGGAACAGGACAUCACAGAGGGUGAGAAUCCCGUACGUGGUCGCCUGCCUUCGCCGUGUAAAGCCCCUUCGACGAGUCGAGUUGUUUGGGAAUGCAGCUCUAAAUGGGAGGUAAAUUUCUUCUAAAGCUAAAUACUGGCCAGAGACCGAUAGCGCACAAGUAGAGUGAUCGAAAGAUGAAAAGCACUUUGGAAAGAGAGUCAAACAGCACGUGAAAUUGUUGAAAGGGAAGCGCUUGCAGCCAGACUUGCCCGCAGUUGCUCAUCGGAACUCUUGCUCCGAGCACUCUUCUGCGGGCAGGCCAGCAUCAGUUUGGGCGACCGGAUAAAGGCCUCUGUCAUGUAUCUUCCUUCGGGAUGACCUUAUAGGGGAGGCGUAAUGCGGCCAGCCCGGACUGAGGUCCGCGCAUCUGCUAGGAUGCUGGCGUAAUGGCUGUAAGCGGCCCGUCUUGAAACACGGACCAAGGAGUCUAACAUCUAUGCGAGUGUUUGGGUGUCAAGCCCGGGCGCGUAAUGAAAGUGAACGGAGGUGGGAACCCUCUCGCGGGGGUGCACCAUCGACCGAUCCUGAUGUCUUCGGAUGGAUUUGAGUAAGAGCAUAGCUGUUGGGACCCGAAAGAUGGUGAACUAUGCUUGAAUAGGGUGAAGCCAGAGGAAACUCUGGUGGAGGCUCGCAGCGGUUCUGACGUGCAAAUCGAUCGUCAAAUUUGGGCAUAGGGGCGAAAGACUAAUCGAACUAUCUAGUAGCU
This 865-nucleotide ribosomal RNA is filed under the name Neocamarosporium calvescens. Its description in RNAcentral is "partial large subunit ribosomal RNA". It matches the Rfam family "Eukaryotic large subunit ribosomal RNA", at positions 75 to 952 of the family's 3401-position model. Lineage: Eukaryota; Fungi; Ascomycota; Dothideomycetes; Neocamarosporiaceae. The record is from RNAcentral.